UUGCCCUUCCCCUCCUCCACUUACGCUCCCGUCCCCUGUCGCACACCCGCGGCAGCGCCCGCAUGACCUCCCGCAUCCCACUCCCCCUGCGGCUGGUGCAGUCUGACUUGUGGACUGCCACGGCGAGCGGCAGGAGAAGCGCCGGCUCCCGUGUCCUGACUGCGUACAAACCGAGCGGCCUCCCAUGCUAUGCCACGUCGCAGGUGAGCGCGGUGGCCGCCAACGGUGGCGAUGGGCGCCGCCUCUGCGCCAUUCACACACGACACACAUCCUCUGCAUCUUCCUCGGCGACUGCUGUCGAGGCGGGACCACAACCGCACCCUGAAGACCCCAGCGACUCCCUCCUUACCCGUGUCGUCGACGCCGCGCUUCCAGGGUGCGCGCCGUACGUGGCACUGCCGGUUGUCUCGUCCCUUCUGCGCCGCGGGAGUCACGACACCGUCGCAGCCGCGCAGCUGAACCAGUGGACCAGUCGCCACAAAGGCCUUGUGAUGGUGACAGGGACGCCGAGCGAUGCCCUGUUCUUUCGCAACGCCGCACAGCUCGGCCUCGUGCAGCAGACGUACCGGGUGGUGUGUCGUCUGCCAUCAGGCGUUGCCGGCGCAGCGCGGCGGUAUUUGCGCGCACAUCACAUCUGUCAGCAGCCGCGACAGGGUAGCGAUGGGGCCUCUGCGGCGAAGGGGAUGCUGAACCCAUACGUGCAGGCGCACAUGGAGCGACGGCGUCAGCGACGGCAGCUCGCCGACCUUUCCAUCGGCAUUCCGCUGAGCGCCGAGUUUCCUCCUGCCCCAGCGAAGGCUGAAGCGACUGCGGUGUCGAUGCUUACAAGUGAUGCCCGGCUUCCAGCCAGCGUGCGCCCGCACCCGCUCGUCGGCGGGGGCUUCUUUGAUGUAGCGCGUGGGCAGCUACGCGUGCAAGGCACGGUGAGGUGCUAUAUAAGGACUCGGGUGCCUCUGACGGCAUCCUCGGCAGCGCGUGUGCACCAGCGGUCGCGGCUGCACAGUCUUUUUUCUGCCCCGGAUGCUGCCAUACCUGGCGCCGGCAGCGGCGCAUUCCGCCCCGACGAGGACCUGGGCGAGUCUCAGCACCCCUGGUUGCGGCCGAGGUGGCGCCUCGGUGUCUCUCUUGAUAUACCGCACAUGCAGUGCGACGUAGCAGCAGCGGGCGGCGACGACGUGGAUCACCCCCGCCGCAGAAGCGUUCCGGCGCCACGGGGCAAGUCGCUGUCGAUGGAGUUCCGUUUACUGUCCCUGUCCCCGCGCGACGGCAGCGAUGUGGCAUUGUACGAGGUGCACACCCACGGCGACACCACCGCCGACGAGGUGGCCGCGGUGUUCCAGGCAGAGGGCCUGCGCGUGGUGAAUGACUACGUGCAAGAUGUGCCGUUGGCGGUGGCAGUGGAGGAGGUGGCAGCGCGCAUGCGAGCGGCUCCACCUGGCCUGCUGCACGAGCUCCCACUCGGGCUGCAGCACCGCCUUCGCUCGGCGACGGCGGAGGAGCUGGUGGCGCUGCCACUGAUGCGAAUGCCCCUCGAGGAUGCCGAUCUCCUUGCUGUGCAGCACAUGCUCGUACAGCUGUCUUCACUCUCGCCAUCGCUGCCGUUUGCUGACGAUGUGGAGCGGCUGCGGCAAGUGGUGCUGACCGCGGCGUCGUCCACAAGCGGCAGAGCACGCCACCCCCUCCAGCGCCUUCUUCUUAGCACUCUCUCGUCGUUGAGGCUGGCAAACGAGGUGGAGCGCCGCGUGUACGAGCAGGUGCUUGCGUUGACCCUCGGCACUGGCGUCGAGUGCGCUGGCGUUGUCUUCCCAGAUCCAUCGGACGCAGGCAACGUGCACGUCUUGCAGCAGCUCUGGCUCACCUAUGAGCAGCAGCGACAGCGACAACCGUCCUUGACCGAUGCGGCGCGCGCGGCGCGACAGCAUCCGCUUGCCUCUUCGCUACGCUACACCACCCGCAGCGUCCUCGACGAUCCCGCUGGGCUAACCCGUGUGCCGCUCCUCCAGGAUUUGGCGAUGGGCUUCGCGUCAGGGGGCGCUGCGGAGUCUUUGAGUGCGCCUGAUUGCAACGGCAACGUUCCUCGCGAUCGCGGCGAGUGCAGCUUUUCCCAGGCGGCUGAGCUGCUCAGCGUGCUCUCUUACUCGCAGAAUGCAGAGGCAGGGCACAGGUUAUCCAGCGACGAGGCGCGCGAGACCGCGGCGUCGGCUCUGACGUGUCUCAAUGACGCGGCAAGGCGAUGGAUGCAGACUGAGGUUCCGUCGCCGUAUGCGGCGGCCUUUCAAGAGUGGUGCGCCGCUUCCCUGGCUCCGUCGCGCUGCGCCGAUACGGCUGCCCCUGAUGCGGGCGUGGCCGUUCUCUUGCCAUCGCCUGAGAGCCUGUUACGGCGCUGCGACGGCCCAGGCACAUCGAAAGAGCGUGGAUCCGACCGUGUCGCGGAAAGCCCUCAUUCAAGCGAUGGCGGCGGCCACGCAGCAGUGCCACAGCGGGAGACGCUCCUGGAGCACGCCCACCUUCCCGUGCGUGUGUUCCUGCGUGUGGAGGAGCUGGCAGAGCUGCGGUGUGCGUACUGUGGAGGGGUGGGGCACACGUGGCAGCACUGCGUCGCGCGCGUCGCAGAGGCUGUGGCUGUGCUGAAGGAUGACGGUCUGGUGGACAAGUCGUUGCCACUCCCCGAGAACACCGCAAGCACUGCUGUUGGAUCACCGGUCUCUGAGUCCGCGCCGGCACCUCUGGCGGCCUCGGUGAUGGACAGCGAAGGCAUCACCUCGGCCGACGACGCCGCGGCUGCACUGGCGGAGCAGGCGAACGCUCUCAGGCGGCAUCGUCAGCACCAGCAGCAACAUAUUGCGAGAAUCGGCUGCGAUGGUGAUGCGUCUGCGUCGCUUUCAGUGUCCUCGGCCCCAUUCGCAGUCGACGUCCCGCUCAUUGCCGUGCCCAAUGCCGCUGCAACGCACCGCUUCAAAGCUGGCCACGCCCUGCGCAGCGAGUCUCGCAAGCCUGCCGUGCACCGCCGCGUCAUGCGGUGUGUGUACUGCGGUGGCCGUCAUCACGUGACGGCGUGCCCGACACUGCGGGCGCAGGAUAGCGAGUCCGAGGCGCGCCGCGCCGACGCUGCUGCGGCCGCUUCACCGGACUCAACCUCUUCGACGUCGUCUCCGAACCGCAGCGGGCCGCCGCUCUUCUGCAUCAAGUGUGGACAAACCGGCCACCUCUACACGCGCUGCCGCGGGGUGCCCGUGGGCCUUCACCACGCGACUCACUGCCCCAUCUGCCUCCAGCCGCGCACCAGCGCGUCGCAUGAUCCGAAGCAUUGUCCUCGGCGGGUGCCCGUGCCAGAAGGCUACCGACGCGACGGGAUACCAGCAGCGGAGGAGUGCAACACUCAACGUAAAGCAUCCCCUUGGCAUCCAUUGAGCCAGCCACAGGCGGGUUCAGAGCACGGUUCUCGUCCAGCGACGGCUGACCGACAGCCGUGGAGGGGCAGUAUACAUGUUGGCGGGGUGCCUCGCCGCGGCCGAUGCCGUACCUCUGUGUUAAUAGCCGACAGCUUUGUGGACAGCAAGUGAGACACCUGCACACUUACUGCGUGUCUGUGUCGGUGUGUUUGUGUGUGCUGCAUGAAGCGCCCGCUUGCGUUUUUGUUCACAGGUCGAAUGCAGAACUGCUACUGCCUGCAGUUGUAUCUAGCCAGUGGCGUCAACGUGUAGAGUGCAGAGGGGGUUGGUAGGUUGCCGCAGAGAUGCGUCUCGCAUGCUCUGCGACCUUCGACUCACACUCAUGCUCUCAGUUGGCUGCGGUACUUUUAUGGGUUGUUAUUGCUGGUGUCGGGGAUGCAGCAGCCACUCCCACCACCCCCGCACUCCCGCACUUCUCCACCUACCACCAUCGUCAUCGUCUCCUCUGCGUGCAGGUGUUUGAGAGAUGGUAUGUAGAGUGUGGUGGUGGUGGUGAUGGUGGUGGUGGGGGAGGGGGCAUUUCGCCCUUGUCAGCACAUCGUUGGCGUCGAGGGGUGACGGCAAGGGGUGGUGGCACCCUGCCGUCGUGCUUCGCUGGCAGGGGUAGCGAGAUGUCUGCCUCACAGCUGGCCACGCUUCUCCUUCUCCUGCCGCUUCCCUCUCGCUCUCUUGCUCUUUCUCUGUUCAUGGGUCGCGUCAACGAAG
RNAcentral lists this unclassified non-coding RNA (4157 nucleotides) under Leishmania donovani. RNAcentral's name for it is "gene:LdHU3.33.3940(CDS-product:hypothetical_prote in_conserved)". The record is from RNAcentral. Lineage: Eukaryota; Euglenozoa; Kinetoplastea; Trypanosomatida; Trypanosomatidae.